RNAcentral lists this ribosomal RNA (508 nucleotides) under uncultured bacterium. RNAcentral's name for it is "partial 16S ribosomal RNA". It matches the Rfam family "Bacterial small subunit ribosomal RNA", at positions 29 to 523 of the family's 1533-position model. The record is from RNAcentral.
AGUGAACGCUGGCGGUAGGCCUAACACAUGCAAGUCGAACGGCAGCACAGUAAGAGCUUGCUCUUAUGGGUGGCGAGUGGCGGACGGGUGAGGAAUACAUCGGAAUCUACCUUUUGGUGGGGGAUAACGUAGGGAAACUUACGCUAAUACCGCAUACGCCCUUCGGGGGAAAGCCGGGGACCUUCGGGCCUGGCGCUGAUAGAUGAGCCGAUGUCGGAUUAGCUUGUUGGUGAGGUAAUGGCUCACCAAGGCGACGAUCCGUAGCUGGUCUGAGAGGAUGAUCAGCCACACUGGAACUGAGACACGGUCCAGACUCCUACGGGAGGCAGCAGUGGGGAAUAUUGGACAAUGGGCGCAAGCCUGAUCCAGCCAUACCGCGUGGGUGAAGAAGGCCUUCGGGUUGUAAAGCCCUUUUGUUGGGAAAGAAAAGCAUUCGGUUAAUACCCGGGUGUUCUGACGGUACCCAAAGAGUAAGCACCGGCUAACUUCGUGCCAGCCGCCGCCGUAA